This 254-nucleotide ribosomal RNA is filed under the name uncultured bacterium. RNAcentral's name for it is "partial 16S ribosomal RNA". It matches the Rfam family "Bacterial small subunit ribosomal RNA", at positions 524 to 776 of the family's 1533-position model. The record is from RNAcentral.
CACGUAGGGGGCGAGCGUUGCCCGGAUUUAUUGGGCGUAAAGAGCUCGUAGGCGGCUCAGUAAGUCAGGUGUGAAAACUCCAGGCUCAACCUGGAGACGCCACUUGAUACUGCUGUGGCUAGAGUCCGGUAGGGGAGCAUGGAAUUCCUGGUGUAGCGGUGAAAUGCGCAGAUAUCAGGAGGAACACCAGUGGCGAAGGCGGUGCUCUGGGCCGGAACUGACGCUGAGGAGCGAAAGCGUGGGGAGCAAACAGG